This 3881-nucleotide long non-coding RNA is filed under the name Brassica napus (rape). Its description in RNAcentral is "long non-coding RNA (BNAP_LNC023010)". Lineage: Eukaryota; Viridiplantae; Streptophyta; Magnoliopsida; Brassicales; Brassicaceae. The record is from RNAcentral.
UCUCACGUUCUUCACUUUCUUCUUCUCUCUCUCUCUCUCUCUCUCUAUCUCUGAAACAAAGAACAACAAGAUUCAUCUUUGUAUUGUCUUUUUUUUCUGUCUAUCUUCUUCAUCCUUACACAAAAUCACCCCAUCACCAUAAACCUCAGCCGCUGCCAUCAUCUUCAUCUCUCGUUCUAUACCUCUGCCAACGAACUGUGUCUCAGCCAUCACCUCUAAUCACUUCAGCUACGGCUACAAUAAGUGGAUCCAUACGGAAAUGUUUGAAGCAGUUGAGAUUUUAUAUUUUUGAUUUUUAUGGUUUAGAUCUGUGUUUGUGGAAAGUUGUUUUCGUUUGGAUCCUUUAUAUUCAUUAUUGAUUCUGUCUUUAGAUCUGUUGAGAACAUUCAUUUUUAUAUAUGUUUACGUACUGAUUUGCUGUUUUUGGAAUGUGGAGGAGUCAGUAGAUUUUGCGGAGGAGACAGAAGAUUUGGCGGAGAAGCCUGACGUCAGAGGAGGUGUGAUGGCUACGUCAGAGCGCUGUGGUGAAGGAGAUGGAGGCGACGACAGGAGGAAGACGACCAUGGAAGUCGGAAGGAGCGGCGCUGUGGUGAAGGAGAUGGAGGCGACGACAGGAGGAAUACAUACGACCUUGAAAGGAGGAAGGAGCGGUGGCUUAGGUUUAGGUUUCGGUUUAAUGUGUUUCAAUUAGUUUGUUGGUUUAAUUAAUUCUGGUUUAGUGUUGUAAAAAUAAAAUUUAGUUGUAAAGUGAAUUUAAUUAAUAAAUAACAUUUCAUUUUUAAUUAUACUGAUAUUAUUUGCAAACUGAUUUUAAUUAAUAAACAAAUUGCUAUAUAUUAAAAAAAAAUUAAGAGUUUUAAUAAAAUUUGAAUUACAUAAUUAUAAAUAUUAACAAUUGCAUACAAAUUCACGCUAUUGUUAUUUAUUUAAUUAUAGCAUACAUAAAAACCGCUAUUAAAAGUGUCGGACCUAUUAUAACGGACGCUGUCAGAGCGGACAAGGAAGCGCUAUUAUACAAAAUGCGUAGCGUUUUUCGUCCGCUAUUACUGCUCAUAUUUCCUGUAGUGUCUGGCUGAGGUGGUUAACGACAACUGAUGCUUCAACAAGUGUUUGGUUGGUCGGCCGGAGUAGCCUCUAUUGUCGUCUGCUGCAACUUUCUGCCUCGUUUUGCGUCAGUGCUUGAUGCCCAUCAUCUGAGUUCCGUGGUAUGUGAAAUGUUUUGGAAGAGAGCUUGGGGAGGUCAAAAUUACCAGCUUGUGACUCAUGGUGUUCAAUGUCACCUCAAAACUGUCUUCCGCAACGCGUAUCGCAUGCUCUUAGUAGCUUUGUGGAGUCUUCUCACCUCUCUCGCUGGCUCUCGAGUAUAGGUUUAGUAGUCGUGUUUUUCACUCAGUUAUUUGUUGUUGUGUUGUAGAUGUUGUAUUCCACUACUUGUAAUUCUCUGUAAUUUUUGUAAAAACUCGAAAAUGGUAAUACAAUCUUAACAUGUUUACAAAAAAAAAAUAAUAUUUUUUCCAUUUCGAUAAAUGCGAAAAAGGAAAUAAAAUACAUACAUUGCCAAUUUACCGCAAAAUCAAUAAAUAUAUAAUUUUGGUCGAUUAUUUACAUGAUCUAGAGGACUCACUAAAUCUUCCAUCUUCUCUCUAAAGAUCUUUUUCUGAUUUCUUUGGGCCGGUUUCGUUUACCGACUCAUGCCACUUCCAUAGGGAUGUAUUCUCGAUUUUAGCUUUUGUGUUUAUUUUCUCUUUAUGGUUCAUCUGUUAGAUUGCAUGUUGAUUUUGGAGGUGUUAAUCUGAAGAUCGAGAUAUAAUAUAGAUUUGUUCAGAUUAAGCUUGUUUUGAGGUUGGAGUUUUUGGAUCCGUAAGAACAACAAUGUGGAGUUGAAUUUGCUAAGCUGCUUGUUCCUCUAGUUUAUUUUUGGUGUCUUGGACUUUACUCCGUUUCGAUUACUUUUCCAUCUUGGUUGUCGAGUCAUUCUUUGGUCAGAGAAAAAUGAUUUGCUCCCUGUCUUUCAUCCAGAGGGUUGAUUGAAUCCUCAUCCUUUACAUGCUUUUCAGUUGGCUCUUUCGUGUCAUUCUCGUUAUAGAUCGGUUUUGCCUUUUCCCGUUGAUUGUAUUAGAACGAAGUGUUAUGUUUCUCCGGAUCCUGUAAUCAAUUUUUCGUAAUAGCUUUAUUCUUAAACCUAAAUUCAAAAUUUAAUCAUUUUAAAAAUCUAUAAAACCUUUUUUUGCUUAUUUGUAUUUUGUAAUUAAAAUACUAUUUCCAUAGUAUAAUUUUAAUCUUAAACUUAAACUCAAAAUUUGAUAAUUUUAAAAUCUAAUUUCAAAUUUAAAAUCAGAACCUCAAAAAACUAAAUUUUAAAUUUACAUCCUAAAUCUAAUACCCUAAACCCAAACUCAAACCCUACAUAUAAAGUCAAAAAAUCUAAUUACUACAAAUAAUAUAAUUACUAAACUAAAACCUAUUCCUUAUAUAAAAAAUAUAUAUUUACUGUGGUUGAUGUUACAAAUAUGGAUUUUGGUGUGCUUAAAACCCUAAACCCCAAAACGUAACUCUAUACUAUAGACAUAAAUCUUUAAACUCUAAUAUUUUCAUGCUAUAAACCAGAAUUGUAAAUUCAAACUCGAUUUUUUUAUCUUAAUCUUUAACUUCUGCAACAAAAACAUUAAAACUUUAGUCAACUCUUAAAACCAACCUUUAACAUUACACUUCAAACUCUAAACUCUACAUCCAAAUCUUAAUACAAACUAUCAAACUUUAAUACCUUAAACCAACCUUAAUCUCUACAUAGAAAAUCAUAAAUUCAAUAUUUACAAACUUAUAAUAGAAACUUUAAAUUUAAACCUCAAGCAAAAACUCAAAUCAUAUACUUAAUCCUAAAUUUUAACCCUAAUCCCUAAACCACAUAUCUCAUUUUAACAUAUAUCAUCAAACAUUAAAUCUUAAUUUCUAAAUAAAUUAUAUUUCUGUAAAUAAAUUAAAAUUUCAAUGAUACCAAAUUAUUUAUAGCUUAAAUAAUUUUUAUAGUAGCUAUAAUUAAAUAAGAAGACUAUUUGUAUUGUUUUUUUUUGAACCAUUGAUUGAUUUGAAUCAAAGGCCCAAAAUUAUUUUUGUAUCUAUCCUCGUCCUUUAUUCCUAUUGGUUUAAAAAAGUUGUGUGUGGAUUGAUAAUUUUAACCAUAGAUUAGAUAUUUUGAACGGUUGAGAUUAAAUCUUUUUGUGUUUCUCUCUCUCUCUCUCUUCUCUCUCUUCUCUCACGUUCUUCACUUUCUUCUUCUCUCUCUCUCUCUCUCUCUCUAUCUCUGAAACAAAGAACAACAAGAUUCAUCUUUGUAUUGUCUUUUUUUUCUGUCUAUCUUCUUCAUCCUUACACAAAAUCACCCCAUCACCAUAAACCUCAGCCGCUGCCAUCAUCUUCAUCUCUCGUUCUAUACCUCUGCCAACGAACUGUGUCUCAGCCAUCACCUCUAAUCACUUCAGCUACGGCUACAAUAAGUGGAUCCAUACGGAAAUGUUUGAAGCAGUUGAGAUUUUAUAUUUUUGAUUUUUAUGGUUUAGAUCUGUGUUUGUGGAAAGUUGUUUUCGUUUGGAUCCUUUAUAUUCAUUAUUGAUUCUGUCUUUAGAUCUGUUGAGAACAUUCAUUUUUAUAUAUGUUUACGUACUGAUUUGCUGUUUUUGGAAUGUGGAGGAGUCAGUAGAUUUUGCGGAGGAGACAGAAGAUUUGGCGGAGAAGCCUGACGUCAGAGGAGGUGUGAUGGCUACGUCAGAGCGCUGUGGUGAAGGAGAUGGAGGCGACGACAGGAGGAAGACGACCAUGGAAGUCGGAAGGAGCGGCGCUGUGGUGAAGGAGAUGGAGGCGACGACAGGAGGAAUACAUACGAC